Molecule: ribosomal RNA, 334 nt
Filed under: uncultured eukaryote
Lineage: Eukaryota
Description: partial 18S ribosomal RNA
Rfam family: Eukaryotic small subunit ribosomal RNA
Source: RNAcentral
CCCUUAGCUGUCCGGGGCCGCACGCGCGCUACACUGAAGGAAUCAGCGUGGCUUUCUCCCUGACCCGAAAGGGUUGGGAAACCCGUUGAAUCUCCUUCGUGAUAGGGAUUGGGGCUUGAAAUUGUUCCCCAUGAACGAGGAAUUCCCAGUAAGCGCGAGUCAUAAGCUCGCGUUGAUUACGUCCCUGCCCUUUGUACACACCGCCCGUCGCUACUACCGAUUGAACGGUUUAGUGAGGGCCUCGGAUUGGUCUCGGCCCGCUCUUUACCGGGCGGCGCCGUUGGUCGAGAAGACGCUCGAACUUGAUCGUUUAGAGGAAGUAAAAGUCGUAACA